UAUGACCCAUUCAGUUCAAGUAAUGACGUUUCCUACUUAGUCAACUAUUUUUCCAUUUCUUUACAGUGAAUAUUCGUGUCCAUUUCUAUAGAGUAAGCAAAACUAUAUAGAUCUACUCCUAUCUUUGUAUGCAAAGACUAAAUACUGAUGAACUAACCUGUGAAUCAGUUGGGUUCCAGCGAUAAUCCUACCAUAGUGCUAGCGAAUGUUUCACUUUACUGCGAGAAUCGAAAGAGACCCACAAACCUUUCCUCCCUAUCCUCCUUACUCCGAUCUGUUCGAAACGAAACAUGGAUCAGUUAGUCGAAUCAAAUCCAACAAGCAUCAUUAGAUAGCUUUUAACUAUUCACUACAUACCAACCAAUUUCCUCUCUCUUAUU
This 380-nucleotide long non-coding RNA is filed under the name Setaria viridis. Its description in RNAcentral is "long non-coding RNA (SVIR_LNC009101)". Lineage: Eukaryota; Viridiplantae; Streptophyta; Magnoliopsida; Poales; Poaceae. The record is from RNAcentral.